AGACCGCCUGGGGAGUACGGCCGCAAGGUUAAAACUCAAAUGAAUUGACGGGGGCCCGCACAAGCGGUGGAGCAUGUGGUUUAAUUCGAUGCAACGCGAAGAACCUUACCUGGUCUUGACAUCCACAGAAGAAUCCAGAGAUGGAUUUGUGCCUUCGGGAACUGUGAGACAGGUGCUGCAUGGCUGUCGUCAGCUCGUGUUGUGAAAUGUUGGGUUAAGUCCCGCAACGAGCGCAACCCUUAUCCUUUGUUGCCAGCGAUUAGGUCGGGAACUCAAAGGAGACUGCCAGUGAUAAACUGGAGGAAGGUGGGGAUGACGUCAAGUCAUCAUGGCCCUUACGACCAGGGCUACACACGUGCUACAAUGGCGCAUACAAAGAGAAGCGACCUCGCGAGAGCAAGCGGACCUCAUAAAGUGCGUCGUAGUCCGGAUUGGAGUCUGCAACUCGACUCCAUGAAGUCGGAAUCGCUAGUAAUCGUGGAUCAGAAUGCCACGGUGAAUACGUUCCCGGGCCUUGUACACACCGCCCGUCACACCAUGGGAGUGGGUUGCAAAAGAAGUAGGUAGCUUAACCUUCGGGAGGGCGCUUACCACUUUGUGAUUCAUGACUGGGGUGAAGUCGUAACAAGGUAACCGUAGGGGAACCUGCGGUUGGAUCACCUCCUUACCUUAAAGAA
RNAcentral lists this ribosomal RNA (677 nucleotides) under Salmonella enterica subsp. enterica serovar Typhimurium. RNAcentral describes it as "bacterial SSU rRNA". It matches the Rfam family "Bacterial small subunit ribosomal RNA", at positions 866 to 1533 of the family's 1533-position model. Lineage: Bacteria; Pseudomonadati; Pseudomonadota; Gammaproteobacteria; Enterobacterales; Enterobacteriaceae. The record is from RNAcentral.